This 367-nucleotide ribosomal RNA is filed under the name Staphylococcus aureus. RNAcentral's name for it is "partial 23S ribosomal RNA". It matches the Rfam family "Bacterial large subunit ribosomal RNA", at positions 1476 to 1840 of the family's 2925-position model. Lineage: Bacteria; Bacillati; Bacillota; Bacilli; Caryophanales; Staphylococcaceae. The record is from RNAcentral.
AGUAGGAUAGGCGAAGCGUGCGAUUGGAUUGCACGUCUAAGCAGUAAGGCUGAGUAUUAGGCAAAUCCGGUACUCAUUAAGGCUGAGCUGUGAUGGGGAGAAGACAUUGUGUCUUCGAGUCGUUGAUUUCACACUGCCGAGAAAAGCCUCUAGAUAGAAAAUAGGUGCCCGUACCGCAAACCGACACAGGUAGUCAAGAUGAGAAUUCUAAGGUGAGCGAGCGAACUCUCGUUAAGGAACUCGGCAAAAUGACCCCGUAACUUCGGGAGAAGGGGUGCUCUUUAGGGUUAACGCCCAGAAGAGCCGCAGUGAAUAGGCCCAAGCGACUGUUUAUCAAAAACACAGGUCUCUGCUAAACCGUAAGGUG